GGCCAGUUAGCUCAGUCAUUUAGAGUGUGGUGCUGAUAGCACCAAGGUCAUGGGUUCGAUCCCCAUUUGAUCC
This is a transfer RNA of Apaloderma vittatum (bar-tailed trogon), 73 nucleotides long. It matches the Rfam family "tRNA". From Rfam's summary of the family: Transfer RNA (tRNA) molecules are approximately 80 nucleotides in length. Lineage: Eukaryota; Metazoa; Chordata; Aves; Trogoniformes; Trogonidae. The record is from Rfam.